RNAcentral lists this ribosomal RNA (253 nucleotides) under uncultured bacterium. Its description in RNAcentral is "partial 16S ribosomal RNA". It matches the Rfam family "Bacterial small subunit ribosomal RNA", at positions 524 to 776 of the family's 1533-position model. The record is from RNAcentral.
UACGAAGGGGGCUAGCGUUGCUCGGAAUGACUGGGCGUAAAGGGCGCGUAGGCGGACUGCACAGUCAGGCGUGAAAUUCCUGGGCUUAACCUGGGGACUGCGUCUGAGACGUGUGAUCUAGAGUGAGGAAGAGGGUAGUGGAAUUUCCAGUGUAGAGGUGAAAUUCGUAGAUAUUGGAAAGAACACCGGUGGCGAAGGCGGCGCCCUGGUCGGUGACUGACGCUGAGGCACGAAAGCGUGGGGAGCAAACAGG